AGUAAUCUUGCUGUCUCUAUUUCAAAAAACAUACUAUUUUAUACUUUUGUUUUUAUUUUAAUAGAUGUAAAUUGGUAAUAUUGGUGGAGGACCAAGAAAGAGCAUUUUCAAGCACCUUCCAUGUGAGAGACUGCUGGAGAGAACUGAUUUACUGAGACAACAUGGCAUUUAAGCUGAAAAAAGAGGAGGAUGUGGAGUCAUUGCAAGAAGGAGCGACAAAACAGUGCAGUGAGACAGAGAUGAGAAUGAGAAUCUGCCAAGCACUAGGAAACA
This 273-nucleotide long non-coding RNA is filed under the name Bos indicus x Bos taurus (hybrid cattle). Its description in RNAcentral is "lncRNA (ENSBIXG00000016099.1)". The record is from RNAcentral. Lineage: Eukaryota; Metazoa; Chordata; Mammalia; Artiodactyla; Bovidae.